UAAUCCUCACCCUAGCUUAUCCUGUUCAAAUCGUUUCCAUCUUUUUCUGGAUGAACCUGGGCGGAUGUCAGACCAGAGAAGAGCACAGAAUGUACCAGAGAGAGUCUUGCUCUGUCACCCAGGCUGAAGUGCACCCAGGCUGAAGUUGGAGGCUAUGAUGCGGUGAUGGGAGGCAUAUACACAAAGAUGAAGGACUGGCUACAGCUUUCACAGAUCUUACAACCUACUGAGAGAGCAAAGACACAGUGAAGAGACCAUUCAGAAUACAGCCAAACUCCAAGAUCACUGGGAGAGCUUAUUUAAAGACCAGAAAGGUUACUGAACAUGGUGACUCUCUUCAAAGCCAGACCUUUGUCCUUGAAUUUAGGGCUUAAAAAACAAUAGUAGGGCCGGGCGCGGUGGCUCAUGCCCGUAAUCCCAACACUUUGGGAGGCCAAGGUGGGCAGAUCACCUGAGGUCAGGAGUUCGAGACCAG
Molecule: small RNA, 475 nt
Filed under: Pongo abelii (Sumatran orangutan)
Lineage: Eukaryota; Metazoa; Chordata; Mammalia; Primates; Hominidae
Description: processed transcript
Source: RNAcentral